UACGUAGGAGGCUAGCGUUAUCCGGAAUUACUGGGCGUAAAGGGUGCGUAGGUGGUUUCUUAAGUCAGAGGUGAAAGGCUACGGCUCAACCGUAGUAAGCCUUUGAAACUGGGAAACUUGAGUGCAGGAGAGGAGAGUGGAAUUCCUAGUGUAGCGGUGAAAUGCGUAGAUAUUAGGAGGAACACCAGUUGCGAAGGCGGCUCUCUGGACUGUAACUAACACUGAGGCACGAAAGCGUGGGGAGCAAACAGGAUUAGAUACCCUGGUAGUCCCUGAG
RNAcentral lists this ribosomal RNA (277 nucleotides) under uncultured prokaryote. RNAcentral describes it as "partial 16S ribosomal RNA". It matches the Rfam family "Bacterial small subunit ribosomal RNA", at positions 524 to 801 of the family's 1533-position model. The record is from RNAcentral.